RNAcentral lists this long non-coding RNA (1015 nucleotides) under Cottoperca gobio. RNAcentral describes it as "lncRNA (ENSCGOG00000008358.1)". The record is from RNAcentral. Lineage: Eukaryota; Metazoa; Chordata; Actinopteri; Perciformes; Bovichtidae.
CGUCACGUUGAUGACGUUUAAACACUUCCUGGUUGACACAACCCAUGUGUGGUGUCUGCGCUUUUAUUAUUUAGUUUUCUUUGCAGCUACACGUCAUCAUACGACAUUAGCAAGAUGUUUAGUUAAUAAUCAUCCUUAUGCAUCUACAGCAGACCUUUAUUCGGAUACAACUAACACAUUUAGAGCAUAUUUUCGUUCAAGCAUCAAGCGGAUAUAAUUUAUUUAAUUAUUUAUUGCCAAUGAAGACCUCCAAUACUUUGAUUGCUCUCUUUAACUAAACUACACAAUGACUGGAGUGCAUAAUUCUCUAACUUGGACUCGAUCUGAUGACAUUGCUGAAGUUUUAUCAGCGGAGUCAUGCCACAUUGUCCUGGAAACAUCUCAUCCAGACAAUGUGGAGAAAAUAUCCCAGUAUAUUGAGUCCUCUGUUGAUGAUAACGUAUGUGAUGAAACUGCUGAAGCGGAAAGUGACUCAGAAGAUAGCCUGUUCCUAACUCAGAAGUCAGUACCUGAGGCUGUGAGGCCAGCAAGACAACUUUACUAUAGCUUGAGGUCAAAACCAAUAUCUCCCAGAGAUCUAGAAGAAAGCGCAGAAGACAAUUCAUCGUCCGCUUCCUACGAUGAAGAAUCCAAAUCUGACAACAAGAGGAGAAGAAAGAAAUACACGCUGCCAAAAUUCAGUUUCCCUUUCCUUACAGAGCAGAAGUGUAAGCUGUUACCUUCCCAGAACAAAUGCCUUCAUACUUAUCUGAUCGGAGGCUUCUUUGAAAGUGUCAGAGUCGGGGGGCCGAGGCAGGGAGAGGAUCCGGAGUCAUCGUUACCAACAGUUGACUUGGAUGGGGAGUCCAUAUCUCCGUUGUCCGAAGAAGACGAAGAAAGGGCAGAAGAGGAAGACAUCAAAGUGGUGGAGAGGAAACGUUUUGUGGUUUCAUCAAAAGCAAAGAGCCAACAAACCUGGUGCAACCCGUUAAAACAACAAAGAACGGGGAAAGCUAGUAUGCCAAACAAGACGCAU